CAAGAAUAAAAAACAAUGAGAAAAAACAACCGAAUCAGUGUUGGUUUCGAUAACUAUCGACUUGAAACCGAUUGGAAACGUGUGGGACAGGAACAUCAAAGGCGAGAUGGCGGAGCGAAUGGAAAAUUUUGGCACUGCUAAAACUAUAGGACCAUCACGAGAAUUGGUGGUAGAUGGCAAAUGUUGCUCAGUGUGAAUUUGGUAUAAUGUUAAAGCAAGAGUCAGACGAGGAUUUUUUUUGCUAAAAAGCCGUCGGUGUCGUGUGAACACAAUAUUUUAAAGCGUCGGUUAAGAAACCCUUAAAGUCGCCGGUUUUCCUGGUGGUUGGAAAGGAGUCCGUACAAAAGUAAACUUGUCGAUCAUGGACAACUGAAUUUUCGUGGAAUAUAUGGAAGUCCCGUUAGAGUUUAAUCCAAAUGUGCUUGAGCGCAGCAACAGUACCAUCACCAGAUGACCCGAGGCCAGAGUACAGAGAUUCCUCCAGUUAAUCGCACUAAUCAGAGCUGAUGUGAAGUAGUGUGGCAGCGAGUGUCAGUAGACAAGCAGAAGACCAAAUCACGCGAAGAGCAGCACAAAUCGCAGGAGGGACUUUUUAAAAUAGAUUACCUUAACUAUAAAUUAGCUACAAUUUAUCGUAAUAAAUAACUGCAUUUUU
Drosophila innubila is the source of this 655-nucleotide long non-coding RNA. RefSeq lists it as uncharacterized. NCBI's taxonomy places the organism in Eukaryota, Metazoa, Arthropoda, Insecta, Diptera, Drosophilidae. The transcript has 3 exons. The record is from RefSeq and is a predicted model, not a curated record.